This 253-nucleotide ribosomal RNA is filed under the name uncultured bacterium. RNAcentral's name for it is "partial 16S ribosomal RNA". It matches the Rfam family "Bacterial small subunit ribosomal RNA", at positions 524 to 776 of the family's 1533-position model. The record is from RNAcentral.
UACGUAGGGGGCAAGCGUUGUCCGGAUUUAUUGGGCGUAAAGAGCGUGUAGGCGGCCUGACAGGUCAGCUGUGAAAACUCGAGGCUCAACCUCGAGACGUCGGUUGAAACCAUCUGGCUAGAGUCCGGAAGAGGAGUGUGGAAUUCCCGGUGUAGAGGUGAAAUGCGCAGAUAUCGGGAAGAACACCCGUGGCGAAGGCGGCUCUCUGGGACGGUACUGACGCUGAGACGCGAAAGCGUGGGGAGCGAACAGG